Molecule: long non-coding RNA, 4847 nt
Organism: Armigeres subalbatus
Lineage: Eukaryota; Metazoa; Arthropoda; Insecta; Diptera; Culicidae
Exons: 3
Source: RefSeq, a predicted model, not a curated record
CGAGAAACAAAUAACUUGUUCAACAUCGUCCGCGAAAACCUUCUCAAUGCAUACAAAAGAUAUAGUAGUUCGUAUAACUUGCGAGCUAACACCAAACAUCACUUUGCGGUGGGAGACACUGUGUAUAAAAAGGAAAUGCACCUGUCCAAUAAACAGAAAAACUUUGUUGGCAAAUUUGGAAACAAAUUUAGCAAAGUUCGAGUACGAGAAGUGCUCGGCACUAACACUUAUGUAGUAGAGGAUCUCAAUGGGAAAAGGAUACCAGGCAGUUAUCAUGGAUCCUUCUUAAAACGCGCCUAAACCACACCAGCUAUGACGGUGCAUCCGCCGAUGCACAUAAACAAGCCAACAAUAACAAAAUACUCGAAGAGGUGUCUGGCAGAAUCCAACGUCGAGAUGUCACAUAGUGUUUCCUCCGUUGUUGAUGAUAGUUUAUAAAAUUAGCAUUGUUUAAUUAGUCAGUUUUGUUAAAAUAUUAUCGUAGAUUGGUUGAAUGGGGGAUCGUUGCAUAGUCCUUUUCACACACCACCGCCGAACGUUAACACUUUGAUCCCAUAGUAAACAUACCUUUCGCAGUCGAUAAUCCACUCCACUAGUUCCUUAAAUGUCGAGGCGCUUGAAAUGGGACGCGCAGUAAACUUUUCACCAUAAUUUCUCUUAAUAAGCCAUAGUUUUCUUUAAUAUUCUUGCGCCACAUUUUAGUUUUCACUUUCACUUUCGUUUUACAAUAGCCCGGUUAUCAUUGCAGUAGUUUGACAGUUUCAUUUGACAGAUCCGUUUGACAGCAGUAGUAUCAAGCAACUCCCAGCAUAGCAAUACAUUCCAUUAAACCCAAAGUAAACAAUAUGUUGUGGCAACAAUAAUAUUUAAUUCACAGUGAAUGCUCAGAUAAGAGUUUUAGAUUGUUUUGAUUAGAGGCUCAGAUAUUUCUGGGGUUUAUUAAGAUUGUAUUUGAAUUGUUUUGGUUCUCAGACAUUUCUGAGGUGAAAUUAGAAUUCAUUGGAAAUAGUACUUUUCUCAGACGUUUCUGAGGUAAAUUGUAUCGAUUCGAAGAAUUUGUAAAUCUGCUCAGACAUUUCUGAGGUCAAUUGAAGUAAGAAAGUUAAUGUAAGAAAUUCAAGUAGAAAAAAAAAAUGCCACAGCACAAUGAAAAAUAGUUCUCAUUCAAUAGUAUAGUCUGCAAACCAGAUACUUCGUUCAAUCAAUCAUGUGUAAGUCUGUAAUAAUAAAUUAGAUGUCGGAUUUAGGAAUAAAUUGAAGAAUAAAAAUUUCAAAAUUUCAUUUCAUAAUUUUUAUUUUGUUAGGAUGGGCGAGAAUGUAAGAACAUUGUGAACCCAACUUAAAGCGUUUGUCGUUUAAUUUAUGUUUCGCGUAUUUUGCUGUCUGAUUUCGUGCUGUGUAUUGCUCAAUGUAAGUUUCCAUUUAUCCUGACGUGACGAUGCAGUCAGUGGAUUUGAAAGUCUAGCAAAGACAGUAACCUAUAUUAGCCACCUAUGUGUCAAGAACUGAAGUAGCACAGAAGGAUUAGAAAUUUGAAUUUAUUGCGUCGUUCAUGAUCUAAUGCGUCGUUGUAAAACAGCCAGAUUUGAUUGUAAUUUACAACAAUAGUUCGUAUUACGUCGUAAAUUAAACUCUCUGUAACCGACCAAUAAGAGGGAAACACGUAGCCACGACUAGGCUGAAGCCAAUCUAACUCGCGUCGGUUUCCUCAUUAUAGUGGAGUGCUUACUAGAGUUCAGUUGAAAACUUACCGUCUUUUUUAAAAAGUGAAUUUGAACGACGCCAUACUAAACUCGGAUUUAUAUAUUUAUCGAGUGUGAUUCAGUUUAAGACUGAAAUUGUUGCGAACCUAGUUAAUAUUUUCGACUUUGAAUUCAGGACAAAAGCCCGUUCUCGUGGGCGGUUUGUGCGGAGUUGGUGCACUGUUCGAAGCACGUGGUACCAAACGUCGUGACCGUUGGGUCCGACAUCUAUAAGACGUCGAGUGAACCGUCGUUGGAAAGCCACGUCUGCGACGCCGUCGACGCGUUGGUUUCACCGAAAGCUCAGUGGGCGUCGUUUCGUCGAUAAGAUACACGGAUACACCCGUCCCAGAGCCGCAUCGAACCACAACGUAACUUGCACGUGGUAGGCGUUACGACUCGCAAGUAAAUAAGCCGCGUGGCGUUUGCCGAGCAAUAUUAACGGCAAUCACUCCACUGUGCUAGGGGAUAUUUGUACCCCGAAACUCAACGCCAGCGCGCGAGUCAACUGGGUGGUAUGAAAGCUUUUCCUUGGUAUCGACAACGGCGACGCAAAGCAAGGUGAGUUGCGUCCAGCCUACUUUCGCUUGUGGCAUCCACGAAAGCUCGAAUUCGACUGCAGAUUGCAUCCGACGUGGGAACGCCGGCAUUGAGAAGAAGCUAAGGUCAGAUCUGUCCAUCUUGAAGCUCGAAUUUCAGUUACCUACAAACGAAACAGAAAUUAUUAGCAGUUUUGCAUUUUGAACGUGACGUCACACACGGUUAGGGAAUUAGGCUUUCCUUAAUUUAAAAAUUUCAAUAAACUUUUCGCAUCGAAUUGAGGACCAUUCGAUAAAAUAAUCUUGUUUUAGGAUACGCGACCGCGUAUUGGUUAUUUUGAAUAAAAUUACUCCUAGUUUAGAACCACACACUUCACUUUUCUUUCGUCACGUCAUUUUGAAAAGAUUUUAGGUUGGCUAAGGUUUAUUAAAGGCUAAGUAUUCCCCUGCCUGAUUGAUUAUCGAGGGUUUUGUAAAUAUAAUCUUAAAUUUAGUUCGUAGAUAAUGUCGGUAAGGUUGAGUCUGGUUGGUUUUUGAUGACUUUGUUUGGUGUGUUGAAGUGCAACUUCGGUUCUUGCGUGACUUUGACCUGCCCUGAGUCGGCAGUCUCAUCCGGGUAAAUUUAAGCAGAGCUAACGGUCCUUCUUAUUGAAGGUGGCGCUUAAGCCGUCAGCUUAAGAAAGCCGGACAGAACGUUACAAGGACACGCAGCUAACCUCGAGGGUGCGUUGUGCACUGGCCCCCCUUUGAAGCAUUACUUUCUGGUUGUACCGAAGGGACUAUGGGCUUGGCGGCAAUGGAAACGGUUUAGCGGGUCGGGGAUGUAGUCCUGCCUCUCUCGGUGAUCCCUAACCCCGCACUUCCUGUUCAACCCAGGAUGUCUGUUGAGCAGAUUCCUCCUCCAUUGUUUAGGAAGAGAAAAAAAAAGUAUGACUUACUAUGGUUUAUUUUGAAUGAGCGCGAGUGGUGCUCGCAUAAAAAAGCUCAGUACGACUUAGUGUGGUUUAUUUUGAAUGAGCGCGAGUGGUGCUCGCAUAAAGUGCUCAGUGCGACUUAUUGUUGCUGAUGUUCGUAAAAAGCGCGAGUGGUGCUCGCAUAAAAAAGCUCAGUACGACUUACUAUGGUUUAUUUUUUGAAUGAGCGCGAGUGGUGCUCGCAUAAAGUGCUCAGUGCGACUUAUUGUUGCUGAUGUUCGUAAAGAGCGCGACUGGUGCUCGCAUAAAAGAGCUCAGUACGACUUACAAUGGUUUAUUUUGAAUGAGCGCGAGUGGUGCUCGCAUAAAGUGCUCAGUGCGACUAAUUGUUGCUGAUGUUCGUAAAGACCCGGAUAAAAAAUACAAUAGAGUUGCAAUAAAAUAUCAUAAAAUCACAAUAAGUUUUAUUUAUGAACAUUAAAUUCUAUUGUUUUUAUAUCAUACCAAUUAAAGUGCCAUAUUGUUGUUCCAAUAGAUGUACAAUAGACUCAAUUGCCAGUUAAAAGUUGGCAAUAGAAUCACAAUAAAUUCAAUUGUAAUGGCAAAAAUUCGUCGGAGAAAUUUUUUUUUUUUUAUUGUAAAGAUACAUAACAACCCCUUAUUUUCUAUUGUUAAACUGCCAUUUACAAUAGCCGUUAUGGUGGAAAACAAUAUUCUUCUAUGUUAUUCUAUUGUGUGCCACAAUAGAGUUUACCGUAAUUACUAUUAGUUUCAGCGUAAUGUUACAAUAAUUUCUAUUGUAAUUUUUUUGGAUUUUUUUAUUAGGGGAGCGCGAGUGGUGCUCGCAUAAAAAAAAGCUCAGUAUGACUUACUAUGGUUUAUUUUUCGAGUGAGCGCGAGUGGUGCUCGCAUAAAGUGCUCAGUGCGACUUAGUGUUGCUGAUGUUCGCGAUGAUGAAGCGCAAGUGGUGAUCGCAUUAAAAAAGCUCAGUACGACUUAGUAUGGUUUAUUUUUUUAAUGAGCGCAAGUGGUGCUCGCAAAAAGAGAUCAGUGCGACUUAGUAUUGUUAAUAAUUAUUGUAUGAGCGCAAGUGGUGCUCGCAUAAAGUGCUUAGUGUGAGUGAAUGCUGUGUAUAUUUAUUUAAGGGCGAGUGAUGUUCGCAUAAAGUGUUGCAGUUAUGAAGUAAGUAUAGAAUUACAUUUUGUGCGUAAGACACGGUCAGUUGUAUUGUAACAAAAAUGGCGCUUGAAAUACUUACAACACAGUAUUUAUAUACUUUAAUUCAAAACUAACUUUCAUCGAUCAUUAUAACUUAAUUGUUAGCAAAUCCAACAACAUGUUAGGUUUUAUAAAACGAUUCUGUUACAAUUUCCAGGACCCAUACACAAUAAAAACACUAUAUACAGCUUAUGUAAGGCCAAUCUUAGAAUAUUGCAGCAUAGUUUGGUCCCCAUUUUCAGUUAUUCAUGCCAACAGAAUUGAGUCAGUUCAAAAACAAUUUUUAUUAUAUGCACUACGAAAGUUAGGGUGGACCGAAUUUCCAUUGCCACCAUAUGUAGCCCGUUGUAAGCUCAUCAAUAUUCAUUCACUGAAAGUGCGUCGAGAUUUAGCAAUGGUAACUUUUAUAAACAAUAUUGUUUCAAACAGAAUUG